RNAcentral lists this long non-coding RNA (11637 nucleotides) under Panax ginseng (ginseng). Its description in RNAcentral is "long non-coding RNA (PGIN_LNC005089)". The record is from RNAcentral. Lineage: Eukaryota; Viridiplantae; Streptophyta; Magnoliopsida; Apiales; Araliaceae.
GAAUAAACCAUAUUACAUAUCUAAAUUAAAUAUUACAUAAUUAAAGCUGAAACAAGCAGUAGCCACUAGCCAGUAGGUACAAAGUUCAAUCAACCAUAUUACAUAUCCAACUAAUCCAAGAUUAAAAACAAACAACGCACAAGGCACAAUUCUCUCAAUUAUAAAGUCUCCAGUCUCGAACAAAUCAACCAUAUUACAUAUCCAAGAUUGAUGCAUCUAAAUCGCCUGCUGAAAAUUCUGCAAUUUUUAAAAGACAAAUGUGAGCAAAUCAUAAUUUAUUAAGAAAAAUUUAAACUACAUUACAAAAAAAUAAAUAAAUACAUGUCCUCAUAAAAAUUGUUUCUGCACCACAUAAUUGUAAGGUGAGACAAAAAGAAUGAGCAACCAAUUGAAGGGAAAAAAUGGUUGAAUUCCGAAGUAUAUAACCCUUUCUCAAAACUAAACCCAGGCUGACUUGAUCUCGAAAUGAACUAAAAUAUUUGUAACACUGCAACAAACCACUACAAACUAUAAUUCAGUUAAUACGCACACCUAGAGGGGGGGUGAAUAGGUGUUUAAGCUUAAAGUGAUAAACAGUGAAAAUUUUUUGAAAUUUUCUACUACAGGUUUAAUUCAGACAGCUACACAUGUCUGCUUUAGUGUCUGCUAUAACUUAUGUUCUUCGUUCAAUAUUAUCAGACAGUUAUACAUGUCUGCUUUAAUGUCUGGAUUCGUGUAUCUUCAAACUAAUAAAGUAAAAUAACCAGAAAUUAAACAAACAUAAAGGAGAAGUGCAGAAACGUAAAGGCACAAAGAUUUUUACGUGGUUCAGCCCCUAUCCUCUAUCUAGUGGCCUAAUCCACGUCCAAUCCCAACUAGGAUUGGAGACUCUUUUUAUUACUAUUUAAACCUCAAUACAAAGAGUCUCCAAUCCUAGUUGGGAUUGGACGUGGAUUAGGCCACUAGAUAGAUGAUAGGGGCUGAACCACGUAAAAAUCUUGGUGCCUUUAUGUUUCUAUACUUCUCCUUUCUGUUUGUUUAAUUUCUGGGUAUUUUACUUUAUUAGUUUGAAGAUACACGAAUCCAGACACUAAAGCAGACAUGUAUAACUGUCUGAUAAUAUUGAACGAAGAACAUAAGUUAAUGCAGACAUUAAAGCAGACAUAUGUAGCUGUCUGAAUUAAACCUGUAGCAGAAAAUUUUAAAAAGUUUUCACUGUUUAUCACUUUAAGCUUAAACACAUAUUCACCCUCCCUCUAGGAGUGCGUAUUAACUGAAUUACAUUUGGUAUCAGAGCUUGGCUCUACUAAUAUUAAUUGUUACAGGUCGUAGGGGAAGAUCCUAUGACACACCUAAACUUUCAAGAAGGUCAGUCCACAAAUAGGCCACCGUUGUUGCUCGGAAGUGAGAACUUCAACUUUUGGAAGUUCAGAAUGAAGAUCUAUCUGAACUGUGACCCAUGGGAAUGGUGGGUAGUCAAAAAUAGACCAGUCAUUCCGCGACAUGAUGAUGGCAAGCCAAAGAAUCUCAUGGAAAUGGACUCAAAUGAAUCGUAUAUAGUAUCUUAUGAUUCCAAGGCCAUGAAUACACUUUUAAGUGGCAUGGUUCAGUCAGAGAUAGAUAAAGUCUCUUCUUGUACUACGGCUAAGGAAAUUUAGGACACAGUCAUCAUGAGCCACGAAGGUACUACUAAAGUGAUGGAGGUCAAGAUAAGCAUGCUAAUGCACGAAUACGAACUAUUCAAAUUGGAGAAAAAUGAAUCAAUUAGAGAUGCCCAAGCAAGAUUCCUCACUCUAAUGAAUUCUUUAAGCAUGCUCGAACGAAAGAUUGAUCAGAAGGAAAUCAACCGAAAGCUUCUUAGAGUCAUGUCAAAGCGAUUUGCACCAAAUGUUACUACACUUCAAGACUCAGUCACAAUCAACACAAUGGAAACUCUUACCUUAUUUGGAGAACUUGAAGAGUUUGAAAACCAACUAAAAUUGUAUGAUGAAGAAGAUGAGGUACCUAAGAAGAAGACCUUGGCUCUACAAGCUGAAAGCUACAUAGAAGGCAAUGAUGAAGAUUUAGAUGAAGAAAUAGCUUUAAUGACCAAAAAAUUGAGGGAGCUGAUCCGAAAGAAGAAUAGAUCAAAAUUACCAACAAAAGCUUUCAACAACAAGAAAGACUUGAAGCAAAAGCCACAAGAGGAAACUUGUUUCGAAUGUCGAAGACCUGGUCACUUCAAAAGAAAUUACUUCCAACUAAAAAGAAAGAACAAAGCAAAUGGUUCAAAAGGGAAGGCUCUAAUGACAUGGAGUGAUGAUGAAUCUAAUCAUGAAGAUCAAGAAGAAGAAACUGCUCAACUGUGCUUCACCGGAAUACACAAUAAGGGAACAUCUGAAGUAAGUCCUGAACUUGGAGAAAUUACUAUUUCUGGCUAUCUUGUUUUAAAAAAUGAAAACCUUCGUAUAAAAGAGAAAAAUGCUCACUUGAAAAGUUGGAUAAACGACUUAAUGAAGGAAGUAGAAACUUUAAUUGAGGAAAAACAAGAAAUAGUUAAAGAUUGCACAUCAUGUGAAGUAUCUAAGUUGAAUGCUAAAAUUGGAUAUUUAGAUAAUUAUAAUAAAAUUUUAUAUAAUCGUGCAAACAAAUUAAAUGAAGAAAAUAAUAGCCUUAAAAAGGAAAAUGAUGAUUUAAAAGAAAGCUUGAAAAUGAGAGAUACUUGUAUAGAUGCUUUUAAUGAUGGCAAAAUAAUAAACAUACAAAAUAACAAUGACGAAGAAAUAAUAUCUUUGAAAAAGGAUCUUGCAAAAUUUGUUCAAGGAGAAGAGAAUUUAAAUAUAAUGUUGGGUGCUCAAAGGUCAAGCUUAGAUAAACAAGGAAUUGGAUAUAAUCCUGUUAAAAACAUAAAAAGCACGACUAAUAAAAUUAGAGUAAUAAAUAAUAAACCAAGGAACAAGCCUCUUUAUUGCUCACCUUAUGUUACUUGCAGAAAAUGUGGUUUAAAAAGACAUUUUGAUACAAACUGUAAUAAAAUUAAAAUAAAACAAGUUUGGGUAAAGAAAGGAGAUUUAAUUGCUACUAACAAUAGCGGACCCAAACAGAUUUGGGUACCAAAACGAUGAGCUACUUCUUUGUUUUGUAGGUAUGCUUAAAAGCUAAAGUACCAUCACAUAAAUGGGUACUUGACAGUGGAUGUUCUAGACACAUGACGGGUGAUAGAACUAAAUUUACCUCACUUGUUGCAAAGAAAGGAGGCACGGUUAGUUUUGGAGAGGACAACACAUGCCAAAUCAUCGGUAAAGGCAAAAUUGGUAGUGGUAAGGUUUCAUUGAUAAUGUCCAUCAUGUUGAAGGGUUAAAAUAUAAUUUAAUUAGUGUAAGUCAACUAAUGGAUAGUGGUCAUAAAGUUAUUUUUGAAAAAGAUAAAUGUGUUAUUAUUCAUGCCUCUCAUAAUGUUCCUUUAGUAGCUAACAGAGAAGGUAAUAUAUACACUAUAAAUUUUGAAAAUCAAAAUAAGGAUAUUUGUUUAGCUGUUGUUCAAGAUCAAACUAUUCUAUGGCAUAGAAGGUUGGGGCAUGUGCAUAUGGAAUUGAUUAACAAGUUAGUUACAAAGAACCUUGUUAAAGGUUUACCAAAGCUAUAAUAUGAAAAGACAGGUAUUUGUAAUGCAUGUCAGUUAACAAGCAAGAAAUUCUUUUACAAGCAAAAAUCAGGUAUCAACUUCUUUACCUCUUCAAUUAUUGCAUCUUGAUUUAUUUGGACCCGAGAGAUAUGCUAGCCUAGGAAAUAAUCAUUAUGCUUUUGUAUUGUUGAUGAUUUUUCAAGAUUUACAUGGGUUUUAUUUUUGAAAACUAAAGAUCAAGCUUUUGCAAAAUUUGAAAAACUUAUAAAGAAUGUUGAAACAAAACACAACCUCAAGCUAAUUGGUAUACGGAGUGACCACGGUGGAGAAUUUGGAAAAGAUUUUAUACCAUAUUGCAGUGAGAAAGGUGUUACACAUGAGUUUUCUGCACCAGUGUGGUGGAACGUAAAAAUCGUACUCUUCAAGAAACUACAAGAACUUUACUACAUGAAAGUAAACUGCCUAAAAAUUUUUGGGCAGAGGCUGUAAGUACUGCAUGUUACAUUUUAAAUAGAGUACUAAUUAGACCCAUCCUAUUGAAAACACCGUAUGAGUUACUAAAUAAAAGGAUUCCAAAUAUUAACUAUUUUAAAGUGUUUGGUGCUAAAUGUUUCAUUCUAAAUACUAAUAGUAAUCUUGGAAAAUUUGAUGCAAAAUCAACCGAAGCUAUUUUUCUUGGGACUUCAAAUCAAACAAUCCAAUGAAGGGAUUCAUAUUCAACAAUCAAAGUAUGUGAAGGAGCUAUUGAAGAGAUUUGGAUUCGAAAAUACCAAACCAAAGUCAACACCAAUGAGUACUACCAUCAAGCUUACUGCGGAUGCUACAAGUAAAGAUGUUGAAGUGACAAUGUAUGGAGGUAUGAUUGGUUGUUUACUUUAUUUAACUGCAUCAAGACCAGAUAUUAUGUAUAGUGUAUGCCUUUGUGCUAGAUUUCAAGCUCAACCGAAAGAAUCUCAUCUUAAAGCGGUAAAAAGAAUAUUUAAAUAUUUAUCUGGCACAAUUAAUUUAGGCUUAUAUUAUCCUGUAUCUCCAAGUUUUGAACUAAUUGGAUACUCAGAUGCAGAUUAUGCAGGGUGCCAAGUUGAUAGAAAAAGCACAAGUGGUGCUUGUGAAUUUUUAGGUCAAAGCCUUGUAGCUUGGCACAGCAAGAAACAAACAUCUGUUGCCUUGUCUACUACAGAAGGUGAAUAUUUGGCAGCAGGUAGUUGUUGUUCACAAAUUCUGUGGAUGAUACAAACAUAACAUGAUUUUAAUGUUAUUUAUGAAAAUGUGCCUAUUAUGUGUGACAAAUAGAAGAAGAAUUUGGAGAUGUAGGAGUUGAAGUAGGAGGAACAAAACACUGAGUAGGAAACUUCUCAACAUCCCAACAUAAGAUUCCAUCAGAAUUCACUUUCAAUGUAGAUUGCAACAAGAUAUAUUUAUCAAUGUUAUCAGAAAUUUACACAACAUCUUUAUUGACAAAAGAAAUUUCAAAGUGUGCAAGAAUUUUGGUUAUGAAACCCCCAAAAGGAAAACACUUUGUUUUAUUUGUCAAGCAACUUUCCAUGUGCUUAAUGCUUGACAAAUAAAACACUGAGCACCAAGAAAAAUAGCUUCGGUUGAUUUUGCAUCAAAUUUUCCAAGAUUACUAUUAGUAUUUAGAAUGAAACAUUUAGCACUAAACACUUUAAAAUAGUUAAUAUUUGGAAUCCUUUUAUUUAGUAACUCAUACGGUGUUUUCAAUAGGAUGGGUCUAAUUAGUACUCUAUUUAAAAUGUAACAUGCAGUACUUACAGCCUCUGCCCAAAAACUUUUAGGCAGUUUACUUUCAUGUAGUAAAGUUCUUGCAGUUUCUUGAAGAGUACGAUUUUUACGUUCCACCACACCAUUUUAUUGAGGAGUUCUUGGUCCAGAAAACUCAUAUGUAACACUUUUCUCACUGCAAUAUGGUAUAAAAUCUUUUCCAAAUUCUCCACCGUGGUCACUCCGUAUACCGAUUAGCUUGAGGUUGUGUUUUGUUUCAACAUUCUUUAUAAGUUUUUCAAAUUCUGCAAAAGCUUGAUCUUUAGUUUUCAAAAAUAAAACCCAUGUAAAUCUUGAAAAAUCAUCAACAAUAACAAAAGCAUAAUGAUUCCUAGGCUAGCAUAUCUCUCGGGUCCAAAUAAAUCAAGAUGCAAUAAUUAAAGAGGUAAAGAAGUUGAUACCUGAUUUUUGCUUGUAAGAGAAUUUCUUGCUUGUUUACCUAACUGACAUGCAUUACAAAUACCUGUCUUUUCAUAUUUUAGCUUUGGUAAACCUUUAACAAGGUUCUUUGUAACUAACUUGUUAAUCAAUUCCAUAUGCACAUGCCCCAACCUUCUAUGCCGUAGAAUAGUUUGACCUUGAACAGCAACUAAACAAAUAUCCUUAUUUUGAUUUUCAAAAUUUAUAGUGUAUAUAUUACCUUCUAUGUUAGCUACUAAAGGAACAGUAUGAGAAGCAUGAAUAAUAGCACAUUUAUCUUUUUCAAAAAUAACUUUAUGACCACUAUCCAAUAGUUGACUUACACUAAUUAAAUUAUAUUUUAACCCUUCAACAUGAUGGACAUUAUCAAUGAAAACCUUACCAUUACCAAUUUUACCUUUACCGAUGAUUUGGCAUGUGUUGUCCUCUCCAAAAGUAACCGUACCUCCUUUCUUUGCAACAAGUGAGGUAAAUUUAGUUCUAUCACCCGUCAUGUGUCUAGAACAUCCACCGUCAAGUACCCAUUUAUGUGAUGGUACUUUAGCUUUUAAGCAUACCUACAAAACAAAGAAGUAGCUCAUCGUUUUGGUACCCAAAUAUGUUUGGGUCCGCUAUUGUUAGUAGCAAUUAAAUCUUCUUUCUUUACCCAAACUUGUUUUAUUUUAAUUUUAUUACAAUUUGUAUCAAAAUGUCCUUUUAAACCAAUUUUCUGCAAGUAGCAUAAGGUGAGUAAUAAAGAAGCUUGUUCCUUGGUUUAUUAUUUAUUACUCUAAUUUUAUUAGUCGUGCUUUUUAUGUUUUUAACAGGAUUAUAUCCACUUCCUUGUUUAUCUAAGCUUGACCUUUGAGCACCCAACAUUAUAUUUAAAUUCUCUUCUCCUUGAACAAAUUUUUCAAGAUCCUUUUUCAAAGAUAUUAUUUCAUCGUCAUUGUUAUUUUGCAUGUUCAUUAUUUUUCCAUCAUUAAAAUCAUCUAUACAAGUAUCUCUCAUUUUCAAGUUUUCUUUUAAAUCAUCAUUUUCCUUUUUAAGGGUAUUAUUUUCUUCAUUUAAUUUGUUUGCACGAUUAUAUAAAAUUUUAUUAUAAUUAUCUAAAUAUCCAAUUUUAGCAUUCAACUGAGAUACUUCACAUGAUGAGCAAUCUUUAACUAUUUCUUGUUUUUCCUCAAUUAAAGUUUCUACUUCCUUCAUUAAGUCAUUUAUCCAACUUUUCAAGUGAGCAUUUUUCUCUUUCAUACGAAGGUUUUCAUUUUUUAAAACAAGAUAGUCAGAAAUAGUAAUUUCUCCAAGUUCAGGACUUACUUCAGAUGUUCCCUCAUUGUGUAUUCCGGUGAAGCACAGUUGAGCAGUUUCUUCUUCUUGAUCUUCAUGAUUAGAUUCAUCAUCACUCCAUGUCAUUAGAGCCUUCCCUUUUGAACCAUUUGCUUUGUUCUUUCUUUUUAGUUGGAAGCAAUCUCUUUUGAAGUGACCAGGUCUUCCACAUUCGAAACAGGUUUCCUCUUGUGGCUUUUGCUUCAAGUCUUUCUUGUUGUUGAAAGCUUUUGUUGGUAAUUUUGAUCUAUUCUUCUUUCGGAUCAGCUCCCUCAAUUUUUUGGUCAUUAAAGCUAUUUCUUCAUCUGAAUCUUCAUCAUUGCCUUCUAUGUAGCUUUCAGCUUGUAGAGCCAAAGUCUUCUUCUUAGGUACCUCAUCUUCUUCAUCAUACAAUUUUAGUUGGUUUUCAAACUCUUCAAGUUCUCCAAAUAAGGUAAGAGUUUCCAUUGUGUUGAUUGUGACCGAGUCUUGAAGUGUAGUAACAUUUGGUGCGAAUCGCUUUGACAUGACUCUAAGAAGCUUUCGGUUGAUUUCCUUCUGAUCAAUCUUUCGUCCGAGCAUGCUUAAAGAAUUCAUUAGAGUGAGGAAUCUUGCUUGGGCAUCUCUAAUUGAUUCAUUUUUUUCUAAUUUGAAUAGUUCGUAUUCGUGCAUUAGCAUGCUCAGUUUGACCUCCUUCACUUUAGUACUACCUUCAUGGCUCAUGAUGAUUGUGUCCCAAAUUUCCUUAGCCGUAGUACAAGAAGAGACUUUAUCUAUCUCUGACUGAACCAUGCCACUUAAAAGUGUAUUCAUGGCCUUGGAAUCAUAAGAUACCAUAUACGAUUCAUUUGAGUCCAUUUCCAUGAGAUUCUUUGGCUUGCCAUCAUCAUGUCGCGGAAUGACUGGUCUAUUUCGACUACCCACCAUUCCCAUGGGUCACGGUUCAAAUAGAUCUUCAUUCUGAACUUUCAAAAGUUGAAGUUCUCACUUCCGAGCAACAGCGGUAGCUUACUUAUGGACUGACCUUCUUGAAAGUUUAGGUGUGCCAUAGGAUCUUCCCCUACGACCUGUAACGAUCAAUAUUAGUAGAGCCAAGCUUUGAUACCAAAUGUAAUUCAGUUAAUACGCACACCUAGAAGGGGGGUGAAUAGGUGUUUAAGCUUAAAGUGAUAAACAGUGAACUUUUUGCAAUUUUCUGCUACAGGUUUAAUUCAGACAGCUACACCUGUCUGCUUUAACUUAUGUUCUUCGUUCAAUAUUAUCAGACAACUAUACAUGUCUGCUUUAGUGUCUGGAUUCGUAUAUCUUCAAACUAAUAAAGUAAAAUACCCAGAAAUUAAACAAACAGAAAGAAGAAGUGCAGAAACGUAAAGGCACCAAGAUUUUUACGUAGUUCAGCUCCUAUCCUCUAUCUAGUGGCCUAAUCCACGUCCAAUCCCAACUAGGAUUGGAGACUCUUUUUAUUACUAUUUAAACCUCAAUACAAAAUUUACUCCCUGUUAUAAAGAAGCCUCAAUAUCUGAUGUUGGACACUUAUGCCCCUUUUUGCACCUCUGCAACUUGUACACCUCGACACCUCUUUCUCACCUCUGAGACCCUUGAAGCCUUCUAUGAACAGACUAACUAAAACAGGAAACCUCAAGCCAAAACUAUGCUCGAGUACUUUGGUUUACAAUGAAUGAGUUUGGAAGGUAAAACAAAUUUCCAACACAAAAGAAUAUAACAGAUUACAAUAAAAUGGCUAAAAUAAAAUAAUUGAAGUGCUCUGAUAUAGUAUGUCAACUUGAGUGCAGAUUCAAGAGAUGUGUCCUGUUCAGCCAAAGAGAAGCAGUAUAUAUAAAAAGACAAGCAACGACUAUAAAAGAUGUUAGCUAAGAAAUCUCAGUCCCGUUAAAGUGAAUCCAUGAUUUCAGCAUAUUUGUAUAACCAGAAAAAUAAGAACUAUUCGCCAACUAUUUGAUUUUGAAGUAGCUGAAAUAAAGGAGAUAAACUUCUAUACCCAGUCAACUAUUUUAAACCAGAGUAACAAUGAGAUAAGAUAAGACCCAGUAACUCUAAACAGAAUACAAAGACUCCUUAUCAAAAUAGAAUACAAAGUACUACUAACUAUUGUGAGCCCCACCAAGCAAUAGUAUAUCCUUAAAUAAAAUUUAGUUCAGUUGACAUAUUCUGUAGAAUAAAUAAACUAAAUUUGGGCAAGCUGGAAAAAACAAUUAAUAACAUAAAUCCAUAAUAUUUGUCAUUAUUAAAAUUAAAAAUACCAACACAAAUAAUUUAGUUUUUUUAUAUUUAAAAAAAAUUGGAAUAUAUGUAACUAUGACUCCUUUAAUAUUUGAAAAUGAGACAUCAUGAAAACAAUUCUAAUUUGGUAUCCUAAAUACAGAAACAGAUAGACAUAACAGUGCAGGAUUUGGAGAAAGAGGAUGCUCAGAUGUUGCAUAAAUGAAACAAUUUCAUUAUGCUUUCCAUGCUUAAAUAAUAAUAGAGCCCAAAACCAACAUUAAAAUGAAUUAAAGAUUAAAAUCUCAGAAAAAUCAUCCCUCAUCGUAGCAAGUUUGCAAUUAAAAAAAAAUGCAGUAUAUGAUAUCUACAUUACUAAUAUAUAUGUAUAUAUAUAGACUAUCCUAAACUAGAAAAUACAUGGUUCGACCAUAAAUUUAUUAGAUAGAAUAAUAAGAUACCAAAUCCACAAUGCUAAAAUGAACCUUCUAUACACACAAAACCUUAUUUCUCAAAAGAAAUAAUUGCAUUUGUCCCUGAAGAUUAUCAUAAAGAGAUACAAAGAGGAUGUGCAACCAAUUGACAGAAACAUGAUGAGUGUGAACUCAAAGAACACCAAUUACAAGGGGGAGAAGAAGAAAAAAAUCAUACACCUAAUCAGUUUUCGGAAAAUCUACAACAGUAAUAAGAAAUGACUGUGAAAAAGAGUGAGACAAAACGAGACAAGUUGUAUAAACAUAGCAGGUCAAGACAAAAUUUAUACCCAAUUUAUAAGUUAUAACUUAGUUAACAAAACCACCGUCGGGGACUGUUCGUCUGUUCCGAAUCUCUUGGACUUGAAACACCUAGUAUACAGAUCUCAGAUCUCAGAUCUCAGAGAGCCAGAGUGCAGAAAUCUCAAAUCAGAUAUGUACUAAUGUAACUGUGUAUCAGAUCUCAGAGACUCAGAGUGCAGAAAUCUCAAAUCAGACUUACCGUCGGCGCUAGUCGGAGACGUUGGUUGCGACGUUGCGUGUUGCGUGCUCGGCGGCCGGUUACCCUGCAGGCCGGCACUCGACAGGGUGAGCAGUGAGCUUUAAUGGAGGAGAAGCUUCAAUGGAAGAGAAAUUAUUAGUGAAGAACGGGUAGAAGACUGAAGAAGAAGGGAGAGUAAAGACUGAAGAAGUGAAGAGUAAAGUAGCUCUGUAAAGUAACUGAGUAAAUAAAGUACUUAAAGUAUUAAUUAGUAAAUUUCGGUUUUUUUUUCGAUUUUUCAAUUUUUACCGAAUUCAAAAUUCUCAUUACCGCUACCAGUAUCGAAAAGUAUAAAAAAACCGAAAAACUGAAACCGAAAAAACCAGUACCUCCGGUACUGGUUUCAACCGGUUCGGUAAAAAAACCGAAAAACCAAAUUUUUUGAGGACCCCUACUACAAACAUUAUGAAACUACCUACUAAUAAUGGUCCACCCAUUCUACAUGCAAGCUUGUUAUCAAGGUGUUUAGUAUUAUGAGAACCCAUCCCAUUGUGAUUGGUAAGAAGAAACACCCAUCAAAGUCGUCUAUUAAUGCAAAAACUCCAUUCUCAAAACCAAGCAAGAGUGUACGCUUGAUAAACACAAUGCUAGAUACAUUUUUUUUCCUGAUAAGUAAAUGGAAGGCAAACACUCACAAGCAUGUACUUCUUUUUGCUGUCAUAAUCUAGAUUACGGAAAUGGCCAUGCUCAAUAGAAUUUGUUUUCCUAUAAGCCAAAGAAACUUGAAAAUAUUAGAAAUUAACUCUUACCUAUUAAAAUAAUAGGCAAACCAUUGACAGUCAACAACUCCAAUCACUCAAUCACAUCCUGGAGUCACGUUACUUAAAAAGCUUGUAUAAGACAGGAUAAUGCAUAUUACUAUGCUUAAAUGAAAUGCUGACAAGCACGAGAGUCUUCUAACUCAAGUACAAAGAGUCAGAAAACUUACAAGUUACAAUAGAUUCAAAUAUCUCUUGAAUUAAUUAACCUAAUUCAAACAAGGUGAAAUUAUACCCAAUACAAGAACAAAGCCUGAAGCAGCAAAGGGCUAUUAGACAAUAGAAAUUCACUGUUGAUUAAAGUCCCAUGUUUAUCUCAAUUUAGUCUCUAUCAUUUAGUUGUAAUUAUAUAAUCCUAUCCCUAUCCCUAUCCUAGCAUUACCUCUGUUGUAGGUAAUUAUAUAAUCCUAUCCCUAUUCCUAUCCUAGCAUUACCUCUGUUGAAGGUAUGCAAAAGUAAUCAAAACAUAUUUGUAAUUUAAUUAGGGCAAGGGAUAUAUUUUUUCUAUUUCAACUAGGAAAAAAGUUGGCAUGAAUUCAAGUACUUGAAUAUAGUAUACCAACUUUUGUUUGAU